GACGAACGCUGGCGGCGUGCUUAACACAUGCAAGUCGAACGGAAAGGCCCUGCUUUUGUGGGGUGCUCGAGUGGCGAACGGGUGAGUAACACGUGAGUAACCUGCCCCUGACUUUGGGAUAACUUCAGGAAACUGGGGCUAAAACCUGAUAGGAGCUCCUGCUGCAUGGUGGGGGUUGGAAUGUUUCGGCGGUUGGGGAUGGACUCGCGGCUUAUCAGCUUGUUGGUGGGGUAGUGGCUUACCAAGGCUUUGACGGGUAGCCGGCCUGAGAGGGUGACCGGCCACAUUGGGACUGAGAUACGGCCCAGACUCCUACGGGAGGCAGCAGUGGGGAAUAUUGCACAAUGGGCGGAAGCCUGAUGCAGCGACGCCGCGUGCGGGAUGACGGCCUUCGGGUUGUAAACCUCUUUCACCUGUGACGAAGCGUGAGUGACGGUAAUGGGUAAAGAAGCACCGGCUAACUACGUG
This 468-nucleotide ribosomal RNA is filed under the name uncultured bacterium. RNAcentral's name for it is "partial 16S ribosomal RNA". It matches the Rfam family "Bacterial small subunit ribosomal RNA", at positions 28 to 507 of the family's 1533-position model. The record is from RNAcentral.